Molecule: ribosomal RNA, 373 nt
Filed under: Macaca mulatta (Rhesus monkey)
Lineage: Eukaryota; Metazoa; Chordata; Mammalia; Primates; Cercopithecidae
Description: partial 12S ribosomal RNA
Rfam family: Bacterial small subunit ribosomal RNA
Source: RNAcentral
CCUCAGUAGUUAGAUAACAAAACUACUCGCCAGAAUACUACGAGCUACAGCUUAAAACUCAAAGGACUUGACGGUGCUUUACACCCCCUAGAGGAGCCUGUUCCGUAAUCGAUAAACCCCGAUCCACCCCACCCUCUCUUGGUCAGCCUAUAUACCGCCAUCUUCAGCAAACCCUAAUGAAGGUCACAAAGUGAGCGCAAACGCCGUCACCGCGAGUACGUUAGGUCAAGGUGUAGCCUAUGAGAUGGUAAAAAAUGGGCUACAUUUUCUACCUCAGAAAAUUCCACGAAAACCCUUAUGAAAUCUAAGGGCCCAAGGAGGAUUUAGCAGUAAAUUAAGAAUAGAGUGCUUAAUUGAACCAGGCCAUAAAGCG